RNAcentral lists this ribosomal RNA (510 nucleotides) under uncultured bacterium. RNAcentral's name for it is "bacterial SSU rRNA". It matches the Rfam family "Bacterial small subunit ribosomal RNA", at positions 28 to 525 of the family's 1533-position model. The record is from RNAcentral.
GACGAACGCUGGCGGCGUGGAUUAGGCAUGCAAGUCGAACGGUAUCAUCCUUUCGGGGGUGAGAGAGUGGCGAACUGGUGAGUAACACGUAGGUUAUCUACCCUCAAGACGGGGACAACCCAGGGGAAACUUGGGCUAAUACCGGAUGUGAGCAACUUUUAGUUGUUUGAAAGGUGGCGUAAGCUGUCGCUUGGGGAUGAGCCUGCGUCCUAUUAGUUAGUUGGUGAGGUAACGGCUCACCUAGGCAAUGAUAGGUAGGCGGCCUUAACGGGUGGUCGCCCACACUGGGAUUGAGAUACGGCCCAGACUCCUACGGGAGGCAGCAGUCGAGAAUAGUCUACAAUGGUCGGAAGACUGAUAGUGCGACGCCGCGUGAACGAUGAAUCCCUUCGGGGUGUAAAGUUCUUUUAUAUGUGAGCAGUGCUUUUCAUGUUAACAGCAUGGGGAGAGAGAUAUUAGCAUAUGAAAUAAGCAACGGCUAACUCCCGUGCCCAGCAGCCGACGGUAAAC